This 1435-nucleotide ribosomal RNA is filed under the name metagenome. Its description in RNAcentral is "bacterial LSU rRNA". It matches the Rfam family "Bacterial large subunit ribosomal RNA", at positions 1477 to 2925 of the family's 2925-position model. The record is from RNAcentral.
UGAGGGAAGCAUGAGCCGGAAAAGGAAAGUCCGGUACAAGCGCAGCAGAGGACAGAUAGGCAAAUCCGUCUGUCAACUCGAGGGCGCGAUGUGGAGCGAACCAAAGUAGCGAAGCAUGUGGAGCUUGUGUCGAGAAAAGCCGCUAUAGUGUUUGAUGUACCCGUACCGUAAACCGACACAGGUGGAUGAGGAGAGAAUCCUAAGGCCGGCGGGAGAAGCAUUGUUAAGGAACUCGGCAAAAUGACCCCGUAACUUCGGGAGAAGGGGUGCUCCAGAGAUGGAGUCGCAGAGAACUGGCCCAAGCAACUAUUUAGCAAAAACACAGGUCUAUGCAAAACCGAAAGGUGAGGUAUAUGGGCUGACGCCUGCCCGGUGCUGGAAGGUUAAGAGGAGAUGUUGGCCGCAAGGUGAAGCAUUGAAUUUAAGCCCCAGUAAACGGCGGCCGUAACAAUAACGGUCCUAAGGUAGCGAAAUUCCUUGUCGGGUAAGUUCCGACCCGCACGAAAGGCGUAAUGAUUUGGACACUGUCUCGACAAUGCACCCGGUGAAAUUGAAAUACCAGUGAAGAUGCUGGUUACCUGCGCCAGGCCGGAAAGACCCCAUGGGGCUUUACUCUAGCUUGAUACUGGGGUUCGGUAUUGCAUGUACAGGAUAGGUGGGAGACUGAGAAGAUGUGUCGCCAGAUGCAUCAGAGUCGAUGUUGGGAUACCACCCCUGCAGUACUGGGCUUCUAACCUGCAGCCGUGACCCGGCUGGGGGACAAUGUCUGGUGGGGAGUUUGACUGGGGCGGUCGCCUCCGAAAGAGUAUCGGAGGCGCUCAAAGGUUCCCUCAGAAUGGUUGGAAACCAUUCGAAGAGCGCAAAGGCAGAAGGGAGCUUGACUGCGACACCGACGGGUGGAGCAGGUACGAAAGUAGGACUUAGUGAUCCGGUGGUAUGAAAGUGGGAUUGCCAUCGCUCAACGGAUAAAAGCUACCCUGGGGAUAACAGGCUUAUCACUCCCAAGAGUUCACAUCGACGGAGUGGUUUGGCACCUCGAUGUCGGCUUAUCGCAUCCUGGGGCUGUAGUAGGUCCCAAGGGUUGGGCUGUUCGCCCAUUAAAGCGGUACGCGAGCUGGGUUCAGAACGUCGUGAGACAGUUCGGUCCCUAUCCGGCGUGGGCGUAGGAUAUCUGAGAGGAGCUGUCCUUAGUACGAGAGGACCGGGAUGGACUGACCUCUGGUGCACCGGUUGCAUUGCCAAAUGCAUAGCCGGGUAGCCAAGUCGGGACGGGAUAAACGCUGAAGGCAUCUAAGCGUGAAGCCCCCCUCAAGAUGAGAUAUCCCAUAACAUAAGUUAGUAAGACCCCUUGAAGACGACGAGGUAGAUAGGCAGAAGGUGGAAGUGUGGUGACAUAUGGAGCUGAUCUGUACUAAUAGGUCGAGGGCUUAUCAAA